RNAcentral lists this ribosomal RNA (389 nucleotides) under uncultured bacterium. Its description in RNAcentral is "bacterial SSU rRNA". It matches the Rfam family "Bacterial small subunit ribosomal RNA", at positions 29 to 408 of the family's 1533-position model. The record is from RNAcentral.
AACGAACGCUGGCGGCGCGCCUAAUACAUGCAAGUCGAGCGAGAAGACGUAGCAAUACGUUUGCAAAGCGGCGAACGGGUGAGGAAUACAUGGGUAACCUACCCUCGAGUGGGGAAUAACUAGCCGAAAGGUUAGCUAAUACCGCGUACGCUCCUUGGACUUCGGUUCAGGGAGGAAAGCGAUACCGUGGGUACCGCGCUCUUGGAUGGGCUCAUGUCCUAUCAGCUUGUUGGUGAGGUAACGGCUCACCAAGGCUUCGACGGGUAGCUGGUCUGAGAGGACGAUCAGCCACACUGGCACUGCGACACGGGCCAGACUCCUACGGGAGGCAGCAGUAAGGAAUAUUGCGCAAUGGGCGAAAGCCUGACGCAGCGACGCCGCGUGGGGGA